RNAcentral lists this ribosomal RNA (465 nucleotides) under Vreelandella stevensii. RNAcentral's name for it is "partial 16S ribosomal RNA". It matches the Rfam family "Bacterial small subunit ribosomal RNA", at positions 338 to 795 of the family's 1533-position model. Lineage: Bacteria; Pseudomonadati; Pseudomonadota; Gammaproteobacteria; Oceanospirillales; Halomonadaceae. The record is from RNAcentral.
CCUACGGGUGGCAGCAGUGGGGAAUAUUGGACAAUGGGGGCAACCCUGAUCCAGCCAUGCCGCGUGUGUGAAGAAGGCCCUCGGGUUGUAAAGCACUUUCAGUGAGGAAGAACGCCUGGUGGUUAAUACCCAUCAGGAAAGACAUCACUCACAGAAGAAGCACCGGCUAACUCCGUGCCAGCAGCCGCGGUAAUACGGAGGGUGCGAGCGUUAAUCGGAAUUACUGGGCGUAAAGCGCGCGUAGGUGGCUUGAUAAGCCGGUUGUGAAAGCCCCGGGCUCAACCUGGGAACGGCAUCCGGAACUGUCAAGCUAGAGUGCAGGAGAGGAAGGUGGAAUUCCCGGUGUAGCGGUGAAAUGCGUAGAGAUCGGGAGGAAUACCAGUGGCGAAGGCGGCCUUCUGGACUGACACUGACACUGAGGUGCGAAAGCGUGGGUAGCAAACAGGAUUAGAUACCCCGGUAGUC